This 535-nucleotide ribosomal RNA is filed under the name uncultured bacterium. Its description in RNAcentral is "bacterial SSU rRNA". It matches the Rfam family "Bacterial small subunit ribosomal RNA", at positions 777 to 1304 of the family's 1533-position model. The record is from RNAcentral.
AAUAGAUACCCUGGUAGUCCACGCCGUAAACGGUGGGCACUAGGUGUGGGCGACAUUCCACGUCGUCCGUGCCGCAGCUAACGCAUUAAGUGCCCCGCCUGGGGAGUACGGCCGCAAGGCUAAAACUCAAAGGAAUUGACGGGGGCCCGCACAAGCGGCGGAGCAUGUGGCUUAAUUCGACGCAACGCGAAGAACCUUACCAAGGCUUGACAUACACCGGAAACGUCCAGAGAUGGGCGCCCCCUUGUGGUCGGUGUACAGGUGGUGCAUGGCUGUCGUCAGCUCGUGUCGUGAGGUGUUGGGUUAAGUCCCGCAACGAGCGCAACCCUUGUCCCGUGUUGCCAGCAGGCCCUUGUGGUGCUGGGGACUCACGGGAGACCGCCGGGGUUCAACUCGGAGGAAGGUGGGGACGACGUCAAGUCAUCAUGCCCCUUAUGUCUUGGGCUGCACACGUGCUACAAUGGCCGGUACAAUGAGCUGCGAUACCGCGAGGUGGAGCGAAUCUCAAAAAGCCGGUCUCAGUUCGGAUUGGGGU